AACCAGAGACCUGUGUUAGGCUAAUACCACGGAGAAGGGGAACUGUGUUGCUUUUGGCUUUGUCAAGACCGACACGUCUGUUUCUUGCUACUAUUGCUUAACUUCUCCCAAUGUUGUCUAACAAUUCGGCGCUCGAGAGGCAGAGUCUCAAGGAAACUUAGAUCUUGGCAGAUUACUUCUCCUCCGAUUCUUCGGAAUUGGGGUUUUGAGUCGUCUUUUGUCAUUCAUGGUCUUCGAUUGUUGCCAUUCUUUUAUGGAUGAGACAGAAGUAGCCCCGCCGACAGGUACUAAGAUUAAGUAGGAUGCACGAUUUUGAAUUCUCUCAACCGUUUGCGGUUGGGAUUGAGUUCGAUCGUCUUUGUUGUCAUUCUACCGCGGUAUAUUCCUGAACACUGUGAAGAUCCUAGUUGGUCGAUUAUCACUUGGGUAAAACCAUACCGCAGACAAUU
This 449-nucleotide small nucleolar RNA is filed under the name Torulaspora delbrueckii CBS 1146. RNAcentral describes it as "Small nucleolar RNA snR30". It matches the Rfam family "Small nucleolar RNA snR30". Lineage: Eukaryota; Fungi; Ascomycota; Saccharomycetes; Saccharomycetales; Saccharomycetaceae. The record is from Rfam by way of RNAcentral.